Molecule: non-coding RNA, 85 nt
Organism: Phascolomyces articulosus
Lineage: Eukaryota; Fungi; Mucoromycota; Mucoromycetes; Mucorales; Lichtheimiaceae
Source: the annotation of a GenBank genome assembly
GCUUGCGUGGUCUAGUGGUAAGACUCUGCUCUCCCAUGAAAUAGGUGAAAAGCAGUGAUCCUGGGUUCGAUCCCCAGCGUAAGCA